This 391-nucleotide ribosomal RNA is filed under the name uncultured Chytridiomycetes. Its description in RNAcentral is "partial small subunit ribosomal RNA". It matches the Rfam family "Eukaryotic small subunit ribosomal RNA", at positions 30 to 432 of the family's 1831-position model. Lineage: Eukaryota; Fungi; Chytridiomycota; Chytridiomycetes. The record is from RNAcentral.
GCUUGUCUCAAAGAUUAAGCCAUGCAUGUCUUAGUGUAAAUAACUCUUAUGAAACUGCGAAUGGCUCAUUAAAUCAGUUAUCGUUUAUUUGAUGGUCCCUUACUACAUGGAUAACCGUAGUAAUUCUAGAGCUAAUACAUGCACAAAGGCCCGACUCACGAAGGGCUGUAUUUAUUAGAUAAAAACCAAUGCCUCGUGCUUUUGGUGAGUCAUGAUAACUGCGCGGAUCGCAUGGCCUUGCGCCGGCGACGCUUCAUUCAAAUUUCUGCCCUAUCAACUUUCGAUGGUAAGAUAGAGGCUUACCAUGGUGUUAACGGGUAACGGGGAAUUGGGGUUCGAUUCCGGAGAGGGAGCCUGAGAAAUGGCUACCACUUCCAAGGAAGGCAGCAGG